GACGAACGCUGGCGGCGUGCUUAACACAUGCAAGUCGAACGGAAAGGCCCUGCUUUUGUGGUGUUCUCGAGUGGCGAACGGGUGAGUAACACGUGAGUAACCUGCCCUUGACUUUGGUAUAACUUCAGGAAACUGGAGCUAAUACCGUAUAGGAGCUCCUCCUCCGUGGUGGGGGUGGGAAAGUUUCGGCGGGUGGGGAUGGACGGGCGGCUGAUCGACUUGUUGGUGGGGUAGUUGCUUGCCAAGGCUUUGACGGGUAGCCAGCCCGAGAGGGUGGACGGGCACAUUGGGACUGAGAUACGGCCCAGACUCGUACGGGAGGCAGUAGUGGGGAAUCUUGUACAAUGGGAGGAAGUCUGAUGCAGCAACGUCGCGUGCGGGAUGACGGCUUGUGGGUUGUAAACAGCUUUAGCCUGUGACGAAGCGGGAGUGACGGUAAUGGGUAAAGAAGCACCGGCUAACUACGUG
This 468-nucleotide ribosomal RNA is filed under the name uncultured bacterium. Its description in RNAcentral is "partial 16S ribosomal RNA". It matches the Rfam family "Bacterial small subunit ribosomal RNA", at positions 28 to 507 of the family's 1533-position model. The record is from RNAcentral.